This 274-nucleotide ribosomal RNA is filed under the name uncultured bacterium. RNAcentral's name for it is "partial 16S ribosomal RNA". It matches the Rfam family "Bacterial small subunit ribosomal RNA", at positions 523 to 796 of the family's 1533-position model. The record is from RNAcentral.
AUACGGAGGGUGCAAGCGUUACUCGGAAUCACUGGGCGUAAAGCGUACGUAGGCGGUUGGUUAAGUUAGAUGUGAAAGCCCCGGGCUUAACCUGGGAACUGCAUUUAAAACUGGCGAACUAGAGUUGAGUAGAGGGGAGUGGAAUUUCAGGUGUAGCGGUGAAAUGCGUAGAGAUCUGAAGGAACACCAGUGGCGAAGGCGACUCCCUGGACUCGAACUGACGCUGAGGUACGAAAGCGUGGGUAGCAAACGGGAUUAGAAACCCCAGUAGUCC